UACGUAGGGCGCGAGCGUUGUCCGGAAUUAUUGGGCGUAAAGAGCUUGUAGGCGGUUUGUCGCGUCUGCUGUGAAAGGCCGGGGCUUAACCCCGUGUAUUGCAGUGGGUACGGGCAGACUAGAGUGCAGUAGGGGAGACUGGAAUUCCUGGUGUAGCGGUGGAAUGCGCAGAUAUCAGGAGGAACACCGAUGGCGAAGGCAGGUCUCUGGGCUGUAACUGACGCUGAGAAGCGAAAGCAUGGGGAGCGAACAGG
This 254-nucleotide ribosomal RNA is filed under the name Rothia mucilaginosa. RNAcentral's name for it is "partial 16S ribosomal RNA". It matches the Rfam family "Bacterial small subunit ribosomal RNA", at positions 524 to 776 of the family's 1533-position model. RNAcentral also lists the same sequence under 2 other names. The record is from RNAcentral. Lineage: Bacteria; Bacillati; Actinomycetota; Actinomycetes; Micrococcales; Micrococcaceae.